This 139-nucleotide transfer RNA is filed under the name Helianthus annuus (common sunflower). RNAcentral describes it as "sRNA HanXRQr2_Chr16g0755431". The stretch from base 65 to 138 matches the Rfam family "tRNA". Rfam says of the family: Transfer RNA (tRNA) molecules are approximately 80 nucleotides in length. Their secondary structure includes four short double-helical elements and three loops (D, anti-codon, and T loops). The record is from RNAcentral. Lineage: Eukaryota; Viridiplantae; Streptophyta; Magnoliopsida; Asterales; Asteraceae.
GAGUCCACCGCCUGCCUUAGUAGUCUCAAAUAAGGCGUGCGGGCGAUCCAGUGGAGACGCAGUGGGGCCUGUAGCUCAGAGGAUUAGAGCACGUGGCUACGAACCACGGUGUCGGGGGUUCGAAUCCCUCCUCGCCCAC